Molecule: small nuclear RNA, 299 nt
Filed under: Microtus ochrogaster (prairie vole)
Lineage: Eukaryota; Metazoa; Chordata; Mammalia; Rodentia; Cricetidae
Description: 7SK RNA (ENSMOCG00000003476.1)
Rfam family: 7SK RNA
About the family: 7SK was discovered as an abundant small nuclear RNA in the mid-70s but a possible function has only recently been suggested.
Source: RNAcentral
GGAUGUGAGGGCGGUCUGGCUGAGACAUCUGUCGGUCUCCCCACUGAUUGCCAGGGUGAUCUGGCUGAUCAGGCUGGCUGGGCAGGUGUCCCCUACUCCAUCACAGCCUCAUGCCUGUCCCUCCCAAAGCUGUCUGCUCCCUCCAACCACACGGACAAACACCAGGACUAUAUGAGCUGCACUUCCCUGCUAGAAAGCCCCAAAACACUCUCAAAGAUGUGGGUUGGGGAUAUAUCUCGGUGGUAAAGUGUUAAAGCACUUAUAUAGCAUGUACCUAAGGCACUAGGUUUAAUCCCCAU